UACAGAGGGGGCCAGCGUUAUUCGGAAUUAUUGGGCGUAAAGGGCGCGUAGGCGGCCAUGCGUGUCUUCCGUGAAAUCCCUCGGCUUAACUGAGGACGUGCGGAAGAAACUGCAAGGCUUGAGUCCGGGAGAGGGGGGUGGAAUUCCGCGUGUAGCAGUGAAAUGCGUAGAGAUGCGGAGGAACACCGAUGGCGAAGGCAGCCCCCUGGGCUAACACUGACGCUCAGGCACGAAAGCGUGGGGAGCAAACAGG
This 253-nucleotide ribosomal RNA is filed under the name uncultured bacterium. RNAcentral describes it as "partial 16S ribosomal RNA". It matches the Rfam family "Bacterial small subunit ribosomal RNA", at positions 524 to 776 of the family's 1533-position model. The record is from RNAcentral.